CCUACGGGCGGCAGCAGUGGGGAAUAUUGCACAAUGGGGGAAACCCUGAUGCAGCGACGCCGCGUGAGUGAAGAAGGAAUUAGGGAGGGAAAGCUGUAUCAGCAGGGAAGAAAAUGACGGUACCUGAGUAAGAAGCCACGGAGAACGACGUGCCCGCAGCCGCGGUAAUACGUAGGUGGCAAUCGUUAGCCGGAUUGAUUGGGUGUAAAGGGGGUGUAGGCGGGAGCGCCAGUCCGAUGGUAAAACUAAGGGCUCCACCCUGAGCCUGCAUUUGAAACGGUGUUUCUUGAGUGCUGGAGAGGCAAUCGGAAUUCCGUUUGUAGCGGUGACCUGCGUAGAUAUCCGGAGGAACCCCAGUGGC
This 361-nucleotide ribosomal RNA is filed under the name uncultured bacterium. Its description in RNAcentral is "partial 16S ribosomal RNA". It matches the Rfam family "Bacterial small subunit ribosomal RNA", at positions 338 to 716 of the family's 1533-position model. The record is from RNAcentral.